AGUGAACGCUGGCGGUAGGCCUAACACAUGCAAGUCGAACGGCAGCACAGUAAGAGCUUGCUCUUACGGGUGGCGAGUGGCGGACGGGUGAGGAAUACAUCGGAAUCUACUUUUUCGUGGGGGAUAACGUAGGGAAACUUACGCUAAUACCGCAUACGACCUACGGGUGAAAGCAGGGGAUCUUCGGACCUUGCGCGAUUGAAUGAGCCGAUGUCGGAUUAGCUAGUUGGCGGGGUAAAGGCCCACCAAGGCGACGAUCCGUAGCUGGUCUGAGAGGAUGAUCCGCCACACGGGAACUGAGACACGGUCCAGACUCCUACGGGAGGCAGCAGUGGGGAAUAUUGGACAAUGGGCGCAGCCUGAUCCAGCCAUACCGCGUGGGUGAAGAAGGCCUUCGGGUUGUAAAGCCCUUUUGUUGGGAAAGAAAAGCAGCAGGUUAAUACCCCGCUGUUCUGACGGUACCCAAAGAAUAAGCACCGGCUAACUUCGUG
This 491-nucleotide ribosomal RNA is filed under the name uncultured bacterium. RNAcentral describes it as "partial 16S ribosomal RNA". It matches the Rfam family "Bacterial small subunit ribosomal RNA", at positions 29 to 507 of the family's 1533-position model. The record is from RNAcentral.